RNAcentral lists this non-coding RNA (32 nucleotides) under Mus musculus (house mouse). Lineage: Eukaryota; Metazoa; Chordata; Mammalia; Rodentia; Muridae. The record is from RNAcentral.
CCCACCUAUAUAUACCUGGUCUUACAGGAGUC